Molecule: RNA transcript, 3769 nt
Organism: Papaver somniferum (opium poppy)
Lineage: Eukaryota; Viridiplantae; Streptophyta; Magnoliopsida; Ranunculales; Papaveraceae
Gene name: F-box protein At5g07610-like
Exons: 3
Source: RefSeq, a predicted model, not a curated record
AUUAACCCACCUCUAGCAAGAUCAUAACAGCUGAGCUUGGAGAUCUUAUAUCACUGUCGCAGUUGGUGACCCUUCUAUGAUUCUGGGUACAAUACUGAUGAAGAUAACAAGAGGAAAUGAGAGUUAGGGGAUGAUUUCAGUGUGGAUAGUUGUUAUGAUUCACUAGAUAUUGACGGGUUUUAUCUUUUCCGCAUAAGCAACUAUGGAAUCCGAAAAUUCCACUAAAGGUUUCUUUCUUGGUUUGGACUCUAUGUUUUAAUGGUUCCCCAACUAAUGAUUUUUAGGUAACUAUAAAGUUGUGGAGUUACUUUUUUGAAAGUUUAGGUUUGAAGUGGGUUUUCACGGAGAAUGUUAAGCUUAUUUUAUGGGAAUGCCAAACAAAAAGAGUAAUGACAUGAAAAAGAAGUUUUGGAGUCUUAUCCCUUUUGCAAUUUGGUGGACAAUAUGGAAAGAAAGAAACGCUCGUAUGGCGGCAAGAGAAGAAGAAAUUGGAAGUCGUUGAUCAUCUCUAUUAAGUGUACUUUGUUUAAUUGGGUACGUCUCAUAGGAUCUUUAAGGGUAACUCAUUAAGUACACUUAUUAGCAAUUGGAAUGUUGUAGUUGGCAGUUGCUAAUUCUGUGUUUCUCUCCUCUGUAAUUUUAGAUAGUUCUGCCACUUAUUUGGUAACUGCAACUUUUUUUUAUAAACUUUGUCCUUUGAUUUGUCAAAAGAAGAAGAAGAAGUUGUGUUUUAAAAAGCUAGGAAGUUGUAAUAGAAAGAAGUGGAGGGACUUGGAAAUUUCUGUUGAAGAAAUUUAUUUUUUUAACACAAAUACUCAUGUUGAACCAUGAAAUUGACCACAUAAAUACCACAUUCACAAUACUCAUAUAGAACCCUGAAAUUGAACCAUAUAAAAACCACACUCUAACAAUAGUUAAUAUGGGGACCUUGUUUCCUCUAAGUGGUAGGAUCAUUCAUUCUGUGUAUGUGCGGUUUUGAUGCGGUUUAAUUUCAAUCACCGGAUUACACUUGUGUAGCCUCCUGGAGACAAAAGAGUAAUCCGAGAGGGAAAAGCUAGCAAAGCAAUUUCCUUGAUUGUUUAUUGUUUGGGUCUUAUUUUGAACUUGCUGCAAUUUGAACCACUUUUGCUUAUGUGUUCACUUUUGCCGUAUGUUAAAUCGGUGUGACUAGGUACAACGGAGAGACGAUUUUUGCGUUUUCACUUCCCUACUGGUAAGAUAAACCCUAGGUAUUUCCGCAAAAUGAUGAAUUCUACAGCUUCUUCUUGUUCUUCAAAUUCAAUCGAUGACCAUCAGCAAAAUCUUGUUGCUGCAAUUGAGAAUUUAUCAUUAUCAUCAACAACAGCAACCUCUUCUUCUGCAAUACAAGUGGGUAAUAAUAUUGAUUUGAUUACAGAAAUUUUACUAUGUCUACCUAUUAAAUCUCUGCUUGUAUUCAAAUCUGUGUCAAAACAAUGGUUAUGUCUCAUUACUGAUCCAUCCUUCGCUAUUAAUCAUAUACGUCGUCACCUUAUCUCUAAAAUUAGUGGCUUAUUCUUUGAAAAACUUUCCCCCGAUUUUGAAAUUUUAUAUGAUUUUAUACUUCUUGAUGGAAGUAGAGUUGAAGAGGAGGUGAUAUAUAGUACUAAUACUGCUGUUGUUGCUGAGGGUGGUAAAGGUGCCCUCUUUAAAACUCUGAAUUUUGCUGAAUCUGAGCAAGUGAUUACACAUACUGAAAAUGGUGUCCAGAUCAUUGAAAAUGGGGUCCGAAUCGUUCAGUCUUGUAAUGGUCUUUUAUGUUGCAUUAAGGAGACUGAAGUUAUAAACGAUGAGAAUGCGCCUCGCGUUUACACAACCCGGACCUACAUUUAUAAUCCAACGACAAGACAAUGCAAAAUUCUUCCUCCGUCCCCUUUCAGAGAUGUGGUGGGAGAGGAUUGUUGCUUUAAGGUUUCCAGUAUCAGCUUGGCUUUUGAUCCAAUCAAGUCACCGGAUCACUAUCAAGUUAUCUGCAUUUGGAGAGAUAUUGUGAAAGAUUGGGACUUUGAAUGGUAUGAUGAUGAAUACCUUCACAAUCAUUAUAUCGAAAUUUACUCCUCUAAAAUGAAUUCCUGGAAGAAGGUAAGCUCUUCAUCUGUUAAUCCAUUUUAUGCGCUUCCUAAUAGUUUUACAAAGUCCGGUGUCUACUGGAAUGGUUCUUUGCAUUGGAUUGCAACUGCGGAUAACACUACAACUGAAUCGUCCAUGUAUUUUGAUAUUGUGCAAGAACUAGUAAAGCCGUUUCCUUUUCCAACUACUUCUGAUCAUACUGUGUCGCAUGCUGUGUAUUUCGAAGAGUGCGGGGGUCAUUUGUAUCUUAUUGAGGUUCUUGCGUCAUGUUACACUAGUUACAAUAUUUGGAAGCUGGAGACUGGUUAUUCAGGAUGGAAACUAAUAUACAAGCUCGACCUGGAAAGAUUUAUUAGAGCAUAUCCAGGGUAUGAUUCUUAUGCAGUUGAUAGGACUCUUAUGCUUUUUAGAAUGGUAUUGGUCCUAGAGGAAGAUGAAGAAGAUUCACUAUCAAAGCUGGUGGUGCUCGUAGAUGGUAGAAGGGUUAUCUCUUAUGAUCUUAAAAAAUUGAGCAUCACAGAAAUCCAUACUUUUACUGAGUAUAAUGUUCAUGCAUCAGCUCGAAUUGGGGGCUUAUGGGGUUCCCUUCAUCAUUACAUUGAGUCGCUUGCUUGCGUUUGAUGCAUUCUCUGAAACACUCUCCAGUUUGUGAAUUGCGGGAGAGAAGCUGGUCGAUUUGAUUGUUUUUGUGUGCUUACAUCUCCAGUUCAGUGGCUUAAAUAGAGGGCAGACAGUGAUUGUACUCUCAUAGUAAAAUUUGCAAAAAUUGAGAAGGCUUUUGACAGAUAAUUGGAAGCACUUCAAGUUUGUUUCACACAACAUGGGUGUAGUAGCAAAUGGUUAAAAUUUGCUACUCCUGCUGUUUUUUCUGUUUUAAUAAAUGACUCAGCAUUUGGUCUUUUCAGGAGCAGCAGGGGAGUUAGGCAAGGUUUCUCUGGAUACAUUGGCAGAGCUGCUAAUUUAAAGUUAUUUACUGGUCUUUCUGUGUCUGAGAAUGGGUCUGAGGUCAAUCACUGGCAUUACGCAGCCGGCACAAUACCACUGUUCUUAGAUAACAAGAAGAAAGAAUUGUAUAACUUGUUCUCUGUGCUUCAUUGUUUUGAAUUUGUUGCAGGUCUGAAAGUGAAUACUGUCAAGAUUAGACUAAUUCCAAUUGGUCAUAGUCCUGAAAAAUCUUAUUGAUGAAUCGAAUGCUGUGUAUUUCGAUGGAGACUGAUUAUUCAGGGUGGAAACUAAUGUACAAGAUCGACCCAGAAACAUUUGUAAUUGCGUAUCCAGGGUUUGAUACUCUUCCAGUUGAUAGGACUCCCGUUUUAUAGAAUGGUACUGCUCCUAGAGGAAGAUGAAGAAGAAUCAUUGUCAAAGCUGGGUGGUGCUUUUAGCUGGUAAAAGGGCUGAUUCAUGUGAUCUUAAAGAAUUUAGCAUUACAGAAAUUCAUACUUUUGCUGAGUAUAAUGUUCAUUCAGCAGCUUGAAUUGGGGGCUUAUCGGGUUCCCUUCAUUACAUUGAAUCACUUGCUUGUGUUUGAUGCAUUCUCCCAAGAACUCGUCACUUUGUGAAUUGAGAGAGAGUAGUUGUUAAAAGUCUGUUAUUUUUUAUUCCCUUAUCAUGGUAUUAAUCAGAAAAGUUCAGGGAAGUUUCAAGCUGGACUUUUGAACCAUUUACUGUUAGUAUUCCUUAG